UAGUUUCCGAGCCUAUCAUGCCUAAAGCAUCGCCAUGGCGGAUAGGCCGAUAGGGUAUAGUAUGGAAACAUCUAUGCCUCCCGUUGGAAAGGAAAUGAAUGCAGAA
This 106-nucleotide non-coding RNA is filed under the name human gut metagenome. RNAcentral describes it as "Moco (molybdenum cofactor) riboswitch". It matches the Rfam family "Molybdenum/Tungsten riboswitch aptamer (Moco RNA motif)", at positions 9 to 125 of the family's 135-position model. The record is from RNAcentral.